AAAGUGAAACCAAAGGAGACUUACAGACCCUAUACGCAGCCAAACAUGCAGCGACAAGAUGAAGCCAAAAAGGGACAGAUAGAAGCGAUACUGAUUGAUUGGUUUCUGUUUUUUCCAUGGUGAUUGAUUGAUUGUACCUUGCUUAACGUCUCGCUCGAGAAUUUUUCACUCAUAUGGAGACGUCACCAAGACCGGUGAAGGGCUUCAAAUUUAGGCCUUUGCUCGGCACUUACGGCCUUUGAGCAGUGAGGGUUCUUUAGCGUGCCACACCUGAUGCGACACGGGGCAUCCGUUUUUAAGGUCAUCUCCGAGGACCCAUGACAUUCACACCUGAUGCCGAACGUUUGGCGAUGGAACUGUCACUACAUUGUGUCGCGGCCGGGAUUCGAACCCCGGCCUCCAGCAUGCGGGGCGAACGUUCUUUUUUCCCCCUCUUUUGGGGCGAACGUUCUAACCUCUCGGAUACCACGGCGGUUCCAUGCAUGAUGGUGAAGAUAACGAACUGUGACCAAUAUUCCUAUUAUAAGCAAUACAAUAAAACGUCUCUUCCAAGAAUGGAAUCGUCACCACUGUCGGCGAUGAAUUGCCAAACUUUGGCUCGCUCGGCGUUUUUCGGCUGCUUAGCGGGGAGCCUCAGCCUCGACGAUUUUUAUCGUGCUACCGCCCCGCCUGCUGUGACUCGGACCCUCGGUUUAAUUUGGUGUCCUGUUACAACCAGCAAUGGGUGCUGUGGACCUUUCUAACCCGGAUCCCCACGGGACUUGAGUCCGAGACUAGGAGGGCAUGCCAGCCAAGGCAGUGAAGCACGGCAACGUUAUGGUCACCCUCCCCCUCCCUUUUGAAUGCAGGAGGUACCCAUUCAGCUGGUGGUAGAGGUUUAAUCCCGGUCGAACGCUAAUCUCCUUUCUCAAGGUCAAACUGAAGAGAAUCGUCACCACUGUCGGCGAUGGGUUUCCAAACUUUGGCCUGUGCUCGGCGUUUUCGGCCGCUUAGCGGGGAGCGAUUGUUAUCGUGCCACCCACGCCUGCUGUGAUUCGGACCCUCGGUUUAAUUUGGUGGCCGCUUACAACAAGCAAGGGGUGCUGCGGAUCUUUCUAACCCGGAUCUCCACGGGACUGGAGCUCGAGACAAGGACGGCAUGCGAGCCAGGCAGUGAAGCACGACAACGCUGGUCCUCCCCUGAAGGAGUUCCAUCGCCAAACGCUCGCCAUCAGGUGUGAAUGUCACGGGGUCCUCGGAGAUGACCUUAAAAACGGAUGUCCCGUGUCACAGUAGGUGUGGCACGCUAAAGAACCCUCACUGCUCAAUGGCCGUAAGCGCCGAGCAUAGGCCUAAAUUUAAAGCCCUUCACCAGUCUUGGUGACGUCUUCAUAUGAGUGAAAAAUUCUCGAGCGAGACGUUAAGCAAGAUACAAUCAAUCAACAAUCCCCUGAAGGUAGGAGGUACCUAUUCAGCCGGCGAUAGACGUCUAAUCCCGGACGAACGCUACUAUCCCUUCUCAAGGUCAACCUGGAUUUCCAGGUGUUGUGGGUUGUACUGAUGGGACUAUUAUUAAGAUUCAGGCUCCCAAAGAAAAUGAAGCUGAUUAAAUAUGUCGGAAAGGAUAUUAUGCCCUCAACAUACAAAUGACAUGCGAUCCACGGUAUCAAAUAAUUGACUUGGUGGCAAAGUGGCCAGGCAGUGUGCAUGAUUCAAGAAUAUUCCGUGAAUCAGCCUUAUGCACAUAUUUGGAGGAAGGUCAGAUUCAGGGGAUAUUACUUGGUGAUUCAGGGUAUGGCCUAAAACCUUAUCUGAUGACCCCA
Molecule: long non-coding RNA, 1802 nt
Organism: Ostrea edulis (European flat oyster)
Lineage: Eukaryota; Metazoa; Mollusca; Bivalvia; Ostreida; Ostreidae
Exons: 4
Source: RefSeq, a predicted model, not a curated record